UUACAGGGUGUGCUCAGAGAUGCUGGUCACAUUAGAAGAAAGCUUUGGCUGCAUGACCAGAUUUGUCUGACAUCUUCAUUGACCGUUUUCAUUACCCAGAAAUGGUGUAGCAGAAGAAAUGCAUGACAGCUGGGAUGCCUCAACCUAACUGGUUACUGCUAUAGGAAAAAUGUGAAGCCUGGCAGGAAAGUUCAUGCUUAUCAGAAUGGAAUUCAGAGCUCUGUGACUGAAGAAAGAAAGAAAAAGAAAGAAGAAAGGAAAUUCAGACACCAAUGGAAACUGGUCACCUUCAUGAACAGGUUAUAUUUAAAAGAAAUGGCUUGGUUGAAGAAACCUGAAGAUCAGAUGCCUGUGGUACCCGGGAACUUCAGUGAAAAGAUUGCAUUAAAAAAAAAUGGUUUGGCUGAAAAUACAUGAAGCCAAGAUACCUGUGAUAACCGAUGACCUUUACUGAAUUAGAAAUGGUUUGGCUGAAAAUACAUAAAGCCAAAAUACCUGGGAUAACCACUCGCCUUUACUGAAUUAGAAAUGGUUUGGCUGAAAAUACAUAAAGCCAAAAUACCUGGGAUAACCACUCGCAUUUACUGAAUUAGAAACAGUUUGGCUGAAAAUACAUGAAGCCAAGAUACCUGUGAUAACCUUUUCUGAAUUAGGAAUUAUUUUGCAGAAGUAGGAAUGUGAAGCUCAAGAUACCUGCAGGACAACUGGAUGGCUUUAUGGAAAGAUAUGAUGUGUUGCAGAAGGGUCUGUGCCAUCGGAGUGGAAAUUAGAUCCAGUCCAGCCUCCCUUGUUUAUGGUUCAGAAUUGCUUGGACUUCGCAAGCACAGCCACAAAAUGGAUUUAAUAAUGAUACAUAUAUUGUGAAUGGUAAAACCCUCUACUGUGUUGAUACUUUGAUAGAAAAACCCACAAUAUACAAACUAGAUUUAUUAAAAAGGAGAAUCGUUUUGAAAUCCUGGAUUCCAUCUUCAGGUCAGACCUGAAGGUGGAUUUUGAAACUGUUGUCUCGUUUUUAACAAAUCUAGUUUGUGACUGUAGGGUUUACUAUUACGUGUAUUGUAUUUUUUAAUAAAGUACUUUUAAUAAAAA
Penaeus chinensis is the source of this 1089-nucleotide long non-coding RNA. RefSeq lists it as uncharacterized. Lineage: Eukaryota; Metazoa; Arthropoda; Malacostraca; Decapoda; Penaeidae. The record is from RefSeq and is a predicted model, not a curated record. The transcript has 12 exons.